GGGGUAAUAUAUGAAAGAAUGUAAUAAAGCUUCCUUAAUCUGAUGAUCGACCAGUGUAUGGUUGGACACACACUGUUGCAUGGCAUUCUUGUUUCUUGAUGUUGUUCUUGGUCUUCUUUAUCUUCUUCUUGUUGUUGGACUUCUUGAAACACCCAGAACUUCAUAAUAUUUGGUGUUCUUCCUUAGUCCAUGCCUAAACAUGAAUGAUGCACCCUUCCGGACUUUAAGAACAAUCCCAACAGCCACACCAUAAACUUCAAUCAAAACAUAAUGCUUAUGAAGAAUGGAUUUUGCUCAUGUUAAAAUGGUAGAUGCAUUAAUGAAUCUUUUUGAUGAACG
RNAcentral lists this long non-coding RNA (339 nucleotides) under Lupinus angustifolius (narrow-leaved blue lupine). RNAcentral describes it as "long non-coding RNA (LANG_LNC001221)". Lineage: Eukaryota; Viridiplantae; Streptophyta; Magnoliopsida; Fabales; Fabaceae. The record is from RNAcentral.